UACGGGGGGGGCAAGCGUUGUUCGGAAUUACUGGGCGUAAAGGGCGCGUAGGCGGCCCGUCAAGUCCCGUGUGAAAGCCCCCGGCUCAACCGGGGAACGGCGCGGGAAACUAGCAGGCUUGAGUUCGGGAGAGGGAAGCGGAAUUCCGGGUGUAGCGGUGAAAUGCGCAGAUAUCCGGAGGAACACCGGUGGCGAAGGCGGCUUCCUGGACCGACACUGACGCUGAGGCGCGAAAGCUAGGGGAGCAAACGGG
RNAcentral lists this ribosomal RNA (253 nucleotides) under uncultured bacterium. Its description in RNAcentral is "partial 16S ribosomal RNA". It matches the Rfam family "Bacterial small subunit ribosomal RNA", at positions 524 to 776 of the family's 1533-position model. The record is from RNAcentral.